This 253-nucleotide ribosomal RNA is filed under the name uncultured bacterium. RNAcentral describes it as "partial 16S ribosomal RNA". It matches the Rfam family "Bacterial small subunit ribosomal RNA", at positions 524 to 776 of the family's 1533-position model. The record is from RNAcentral.
UACGGAGGGUGCAAGCGUUGCUCGGAAUCAUUGGGCGUAAAGCGCACGUAGGCGGCCUGACAAGUCGGGUGUGAAAGCCCUGGGCUCAACCCAGGAAGUGCACUCGAAACUGCCAGGCUUGAAUAUGGAAGAGGGUCGCGGAAUUCCCGGUGUAGAGGUGAAAUUCGUAGAUAUCGGGAGGAACACCAGUGGCGAAGGCGGCGACCUGGGCCAAUAUUGACGCUGAGGUGCGAAAGCGUGGGGAGCAAACAGG